RNAcentral lists this small nuclear RNA (249 nucleotides) under Jaculus jaculus (lesser Egyptian jerboa). Its description in RNAcentral is "7SK RNA (ENSJJAG00000001114.1)". It matches the Rfam family "7SK RNA". From Rfam's summary of the family: 7SK was discovered as an abundant small nuclear RNA in the mid-70s but a possible function has only recently been suggested. Two independent studies have found that 7SK RNA binds the CDK9/cyclin T complex (known as elongation factor P-TEFb). P-TEFb activates transcription by phosphorylating the C-terminal domain of RNA polymerase II. The record is from RNAcentral. Lineage: Eukaryota; Metazoa; Chordata; Mammalia; Rodentia; Dipodidae.
GGAUGUGAGGAAGAUCUGGCUAUGACAGCUAUCACCCCAUUGAUCACCAGGGUUGAUUCAGCUGAUCUGGCUGGCUAGGCUUGUGUCCCCUUCCUCCCUCACCGCUCCAAGCGCACGACAGAAGAGGACCGGUCUUCGUUCAAGGGUAUACAAGUAGCUGCGCUCCCCUGCUAGAACCUCCAAACAAGCUCUCAAAGAGAUAAACAAGCAAAGAAUUUUUUUCAAAAAGCACUUACUUGACUUGUACAG